Molecule: ribosomal RNA, 253 nt
Filed under: uncultured bacterium
Lineage: Bacteria
Description: partial 16S ribosomal RNA
Rfam family: Bacterial small subunit ribosomal RNA
Source: RNAcentral
UACGGAGGGGGCUAGCGUUGUUCGGAAUUACUGGGCGUAAAGCGCGCGUAGGCGGACCUGCAAGUCGGGGGUGAAAGCCCGAGGCUCAACCUCGGAACUGCCUUCGAUACUGCGGGUCUCGAGUCCGGGAGAGGUGAGUGGAAUUCCUAGUGUAGAGGUGAAAUUCGUAGAUAUUAGGAAGAACACCAGUGGCGAAGGCGGCUCACUGGCCCGGUACUGACGCUGAGGCGCGAAAGCGCGGGGAGCAAACAGG